AGUGAACGCUGGCGGUAGGCCUAACACAUGCAAGUCGAACGGCCGGACAGUAAGAGCUUGCUCCUACGGUUGGCGAGGGGCGGACGGGUGAGGAAUACAUCGGAAUCUACUUUUUCGUGGGUGAUAACGUAGGGAAACUUCUGCUAAUACCGCAUAUGACCUACGGCAUGAAUCAGUGGAUCUUCGGACUUUUGCUGUUUCAAUGAGCUGGUGCCGGAUUAGCUAGUUGGCGAGGUAAAGGCCCACCAAGGCGACGAUACGUAGCUGGUCUGAGAGGAUGAUCAGCCACACUGGAACUGAGACACGGUCCAGACUCCUACGGGAGGCAGCAGUGGGGAAUCUUGGACAAUGGGCGAAAGCCUGAUCCAGCCAUACCGCGUGGGUGAAGAAGGCCUUCGGGUUGUAAAGCCCUUUUAUUGGGAAAGAAAAGCAGCAGGUUAAUCCCCCGCUGUUCUGACGGUACCCAAAGAAUAAGCACCGGCUAACUUCGUG
RNAcentral lists this ribosomal RNA (492 nucleotides) under uncultured bacterium. RNAcentral describes it as "partial 16S ribosomal RNA". It matches the Rfam family "Bacterial small subunit ribosomal RNA", at positions 29 to 507 of the family's 1533-position model. The record is from RNAcentral.